Molecule: transfer RNA, 74 nt
Filed under: Kutzneria sp. CA-103260
Lineage: Bacteria; Bacillati; Actinomycetota; Actinomycetes; Pseudonocardiales; Pseudonocardiaceae
Description: tRNA-Arg
Rfam family: tRNA
About the family: Transfer RNA (tRNA) molecules are approximately 80 nucleotides in length. Their secondary structure includes four short double-helical elements and three loops (D, anti-codon, and T loops).
Source: RNAcentral
GCCCCUGUAGCUCAGGGGAUAGAGCAACGGUUUCCUAAACCGUGUGUCGCAGGUUCGAAUCCUGCCAGGGGCAC